RNAcentral lists this ribosomal RNA (484 nucleotides) under uncultured bacterium. RNAcentral's name for it is "partial 16S ribosomal RNA". It matches the Rfam family "Bacterial small subunit ribosomal RNA", at positions 30 to 507 of the family's 1533-position model. The record is from RNAcentral.
AUUGAACGCUGGCGGCAGGCCUAACACAUGCCAGUCGAGCGGAUGAAGGGAGCUUGCUCCUGGAUUCAGCGGCGGACGGGUGAGUAAUGCCUAGGAAUCUGCCUGGUAGUGGGGGAUAACGUCCGGAAACGGGCGCUAAUACCGCAUACGUCCUGAGGGAGAAAGUGGGGGAUCUUCGGACCUCACGCUAUCAGAUGAGCCUAGGUCGGAUUAGCUAGUUGGUGGGGUAAAGGCCUACCAAGGCGACGAUCCAUAACUGGUCUGAGAGGAUGAUCAGUCACACUGGAACUGAGACACGGUCCAGACUCCUACGGGAGGCAGCAGUGGGGAAUAUUGGACAAUGGGCGAAAGCCUGAUCCAGCCAUGCCGCGUGUGUGAAGAAGGUCUUCGGAUUGUAAAGCACUUUAAGUUGGGAGGAAGGGCAGUAAGUUAAUACCUUGCUGUUUUGACGUUACCAACAGAAUAAGCACCGGCUAACUUCGUG